CACCGGCUGACGAGUCCUAAAUAGGACGAAACGCUUGUCGUGGUU
This 45-nucleotide non-coding RNA is filed under the name Schistosoma mattheei. The record is from RNAcentral. Lineage: Eukaryota; Metazoa; Platyhelminthes; Trematoda; Strigeidida; Schistosomatidae.